This 1657-nucleotide long non-coding RNA is filed under the name Theobroma cacao (cacao). Its description in RNAcentral is "long non-coding RNA (TCAC_LNC000518)". Lineage: Eukaryota; Viridiplantae; Streptophyta; Magnoliopsida; Malvales; Malvaceae. The record is from RNAcentral.
GAAGUGAAGAGGAAAGGAAAGAACACAAACCCUAGGUGGGAAAACUGAAGAAAAAGUGUGGGAUUUCAAGGGAUUAAGCUGAUAAAGGUAAAAAUUUUGUGAUUUUAUCUUGUGAUUUACACUAACCAUGCUUUCUUUUUCAUUUUUCAUGCUUAGAACUCAAGUUUGCAUAAUGAACCCAUGCUGGCCAAAUUUGAGAUGAGAAGUUUUUAGCAUUGAUUUUGCUAGAUUUCAAGCUAAUUAAGUGUUUUUGGCUGUUUGGUAAUGGAAAGUAUAAAAAUCUAGCAAUGAAUCACUUUGUUCUUCACAAACCCACAAGAGGCCGAAUUUUCUAGGGAGGAUAUUGAGGCUGAAAUUAAUGAUAUUUCAUGAUAAAUUGGGGGUAUUUAAUGAUUGGUGAGGCUAGAAAUUUAAUGAAAAAUUUUAGCAUGAAAAUCUAAAUUUUUACCUAAUGUAUAGACAUGUGCGAUUUAUGGUUCGGACCGAUAAAUUGAAUCAUAUUCACAGUCAUUGAGGUAUUUUAAGUAUAAUUGGAGUGUAAAAAGUGAAAGAAAUCAAUUUGGAGUUAAAUUGAAGGUUUUAGCCAAUUACACCGAAAAUAGUACGAAUUAGGUCGAAUACCGUAUUUAAACGGCUAUUCAGACAUUUUGCAUCACAUUUCAUGCAUUCAUAUAGAUUUAUAGAGCCUGAAAUAGUUUACGAUAAAUUGACACAAUUUAUUAAAAUUCGUGUCACGGAUGAUGUAUAGGUGGUAAGCCCUCUAACAAGGGUAAAGAGAUUGUGCCCCGAAGACUGGGAAUAGGAGUAUAUCGAACUCCUAGUACAGUGAGUAACCUUACUAUCGUCUUAAUUAUCUAAAGUGAUUUUUAUCCAAUUUUGUGAUUUUAUGAAAAAUGAGUUAAAUGGUAAAUCCUUAUGUUUUGUAAUUAAAAUGUGAUUUAAUAAAAUGAUUUUGUAAAUUGUCUUGAAAUGAAAUGAUGGUUUGGAAAAUAGAGUAAUUGAAGACUGUUUUCAUAUGUUGUAAAUUCAUGGUUUAAAUUGAAUGACUUAUGACAAUAUUGGCAUGAAUGGCUAAAUUGGUAUUUGUGUUGAAAUGUAUAAAUUAUUGUUUGCCUUGAGAGGCUGUAAAAUAAAAUAAUUGUCAUGUUAUUGCAAAAUUUUAUUAUAUGGUGGGUUUAGCUAGCUGCAGUGGGCUGGUUCUAUGGACUAGCCUAUUAGAGGGGCACGAAACCUGGUCAUAUUCAUACCUCAAUAUGAGAGGCGCGGAUGGAUAACUCCUGAGGUUAACACUUUAAAGUUCGCUUCACGCCAAACCACCACGUGAGGGUGAACUCGACCAACGCCAAGGAACGGCUAUGUUUUCAAAAUAGAAACAUGAUUUUAUGCGUACAUAACUUUUUAACAGCCUUGGCGGACUCGAUUGGGAUAGCCCUCGGCUAAGGUAUCCCUGAUAACUAAGUAUGAGAAAGAUUUUUGGCACAAGCCAAGCUUUUCAGGAAAUCAUAAGCCUAGUUGUUUAUUUGGUUGAAAUGAGUUGAAAGGUAAUGAAAUUAUAGUAUGAUGACUUAUUUUAAUUGUCUCCAUUUACUCAACUUUAGAUGGUUUAGAUGGUAUCUGUUUACUCACUGGAAUUUUAUAAUCUCACCACCCUCCUUUU